UACGGAAGGUCCGGGCGUUAUCCGGAUUUAUUGGGUUUAAAGGGAGCGCAGGCUGGCGAUUAAGCGUGACGUGAAAUGCCGCGGCUCAACCGUGGAAGUGCGUCGCGAACUGGUCGUCUUGAGUGCAUUCGAGGCACGCGGAAUUUGUGGUGUAGCGGUGAAAUGCUUAGAUAUCACGAAGAACUCCGAUUGCGAAGGCAGCGUGCCAGGCUGUUACUGACGCUAAAGCUCGAAAGUGCGGGUAUCGAAC
Molecule: ribosomal RNA, 250 nt
Filed under: uncultured prokaryote
Description: partial 16S ribosomal RNA
Rfam family: Bacterial small subunit ribosomal RNA
Source: RNAcentral